GAUGAACGCUGGCGGCGUGCCUAAUACAUGCAAGUCGAGCGAACGGACGAGAAGCUUGCUUCUCUGAUGUUAGCGGCGGACGGGUGAGUAACACGUGUAUAACCUACCUAUAAGACUGGUAUAACUUCGGGAAACCGGAGCUAAUACCGGAUAAUAUUCUGAACCGCAUGGUUCAAAAGUGAAUGACGGUCUUGCUGGCUCUUAUAGAUGGAUCCGCGCUGCAUUAGCUAGUUGGUAAGGUAACGGCUUACCAAGGCAACGAUGCAUAACCGACCUGAGAGAGUGAUCGGCCACACUGGAACUGAGACACGGUCCAGACUCCUACGGGAGGCAGCAGUAGGGAAUCUUCCGCAAUGGGCGGAAGCCUGACGGAGCAGCGCCGCGUGAGUGAUGAAGGUCUUCGGUUCGUAAAACUCUGUUAUGGGGGAUGAACAUAUGUGUAAGUAACUGUGCACAGCUUGACGGUACCUAGUCAGAAAGCCACGGCUAACUACGUG
RNAcentral lists this ribosomal RNA (497 nucleotides) under uncultured bacterium. RNAcentral describes it as "partial 16S ribosomal RNA". It matches the Rfam family "Bacterial small subunit ribosomal RNA", at positions 28 to 507 of the family's 1533-position model. The record is from RNAcentral.